GCCGAUGUAGCUCAGUUGGCAGAGCAGCGGUUUUGUAAACCGCAGGUCAUAGGUUCGAGUCCUAUCAUCGGCU
This 73-nucleotide transfer RNA is filed under the name Endomicrobium sp. RNAcentral describes it as "tRNA-Thr". It matches the Rfam family "tRNA". From Rfam's summary of the family: Transfer RNA (tRNA) molecules are approximately 80 nucleotides in length. Their secondary structure includes four short double-helical elements and three loops (D, anti-codon, and T loops). Further hydrogen bonds mediate the characteristic L-shaped molecular structure. tRNAs have two regions of fundamental functional importance: the anti-codon, which is responsible for specific mRNA codon recognition, and the 3' end, to which the tRNAs corresponding amino acid is attached (by aminoacyl-tRNA synthetases). tRNAs cope with the degeneracy of the genetic code in two manners: having more than one tRNA (with a specific anti-codon) for a particular amino acid; and 'wobble' base-pairing, i.e. permitting non-standard base-pairing at the 3rd anti-codon position. Lineage: Bacteria; Pseudomonadati; Elusimicrobiota; Endomicrobiia; Endomicrobiales; Endomicrobiaceae. The record is from RNAcentral.